UACGAAGGGGGCUAGCGUUACUCGGAAUGACUGGGCGUAAAGGGCGCGUAGGCGGUUUGUUUAGUUAGGCGUGAAAUUCCUGGGCUCAACCUGGGGGCUGCGCUUAAUACAGGCAGACUAGAGUGUGAAAGAGGGUCGUGGAAUUUCCGGUGUAGAGGUGAAAUUCGUAGAUAUUGGAAAGAACACCGGUGGCGAAGGCGGCGACCUGGUUCAUUACUGACGCUGAGGCGCGAAAGCGUGGGGAGCAAACAGG
RNAcentral lists this ribosomal RNA (253 nucleotides) under uncultured bacterium. Its description in RNAcentral is "partial 16S ribosomal RNA". It matches the Rfam family "Bacterial small subunit ribosomal RNA", at positions 524 to 776 of the family's 1533-position model. The record is from RNAcentral.